This 76-nucleotide transfer RNA is filed under the name Phycisphaerae bacterium. Its description in RNAcentral is "tRNA-Ile". It matches the Rfam family "tRNA". Rfam says of the family: Transfer RNA (tRNA) molecules are approximately 80 nucleotides in length. Their secondary structure includes four short double-helical elements and three loops (D, anti-codon, and T loops). The record is from RNAcentral. Lineage: Bacteria; Pseudomonadati; Planctomycetota; Phycisphaerae.
CCUCCUGUAGCUCAGUGGUUAGAGCAAUGUUCUUAUAAAGCAUCGGUCGCGGUUUCGAUUACCGCCAGGAGGACCC